This 1401-nucleotide long non-coding RNA is filed under the name Brassica napus (rape). RNAcentral's name for it is "long non-coding RNA (BNAP_LNC017313)". Lineage: Eukaryota; Viridiplantae; Streptophyta; Magnoliopsida; Brassicales; Brassicaceae. The record is from RNAcentral.
GGUUUUGUAAUCAUGGCAACAAUGGUUGCUGCUUCUUAUGAGCCCUACACUUAUAGCUCUCCACCACCACCAAUGUACAAUUCUCCUGCACCGAAAGUUGACUACAAGUCUCCACCACCUCCUUACGUAUACAGUUCUCCUCCACCUCCACCAAUGUAUUCGCCAUCUCCUAAAGUGGAUUAUAAAUCCCCACCACCUCCUUACGUCUACAGCUCACCACCACCGCCAUACUAUUCACCUUCUCCAAAGGUGGAUUACAAAUCUCCACCACCUCCUUACGUGUAUAGCUCGCCACCACCACCAUAUUACUCACCUUCUCCAAAGGUGGACUACAAAUCUCCACCACCUCCUUAUGUCUACAGCUCCCCACCACCACCACCAUACAUAUACGGUUCUCCACCCCCACCACCAUACUACUCACCUUCUCCUAAGGUAGACUACAAGUCUCCACCACCUCCUUACGUCUAUAGCUCUCCACCACCGCCCCCUUACGUUUACAACUCACCACCACCACCCCCGUACUACUCACCCUCUCCUAAAGUCGAUUACAAAUCUCCUCCACCACCUUACGUCUACACUUCUCCACCACCACCAUACAACUCACCUUCUCCAAAGAUUGAUUACAAAUCUCCACCCCCACCGUAUGUUUACUACUCCCCACCACCACCAUACUACUCGCCUUCACCUAGACCCAUAUACAAAUCGCCACCCCCACCAUACGUCUACAGCUCCCCACCACCACCUUAUUACUCUCCUUCACCCAAACCAUCAUACAAGUCUCCACCACCUCCGUACGUAUACAGCUCUCCACCACCACCAUACUACUCUCCUCCUAAACCCGCAUACAAAUCGCCACCACCACCAUAUGUCUACAGCUCUCCACCACCACCAUACUACUCGCCUUCACCUAAACCAGCAUACAAAUCUCCACCACCACCAUAUAUCUACAGCUCUCCCCCACCACCAUACUACUCGCCUUCACCCAAGCCCGUAUACAAAUCCCCACCACCGCCAUACGUCUACAGCUCCCCACCCCCACCUUACUAUUCUCCAUCACCUAAACAUGUAUACAAAUCUCCACCACCUCCGUAUGUCUACAGCUCUCCGCCCCCACCAUACUACUCUCCUUCUCCUAAGCCCGCGUACAAAUCUCCUCCACCACCAUAUGUCUAUAGUUCUCCUCCACCACCAUACUAUUCUCCUUCCCCUAAGCCAGCAUACAAAUCACCACCACCGCCAUAUGUGUACAGUUCUCCCCCACCACCAUAUUACUCGCCUUCUCCCAAGCCCGCUUACAAAUCUCCACCACCACCAUAUGUAUACAGCUCCCCACACCUCCACCAAUGUAUUCGCCAUCUCCUAAAGUGGAUUAUAAAUCCCCACCACCUCCUUACGUCUACA